Molecule: ribosomal RNA, 253 nt
Filed under: uncultured bacterium
Lineage: Bacteria
Description: partial 16S ribosomal RNA
Rfam family: Bacterial small subunit ribosomal RNA
Source: RNAcentral
UACGAAGGGGGCUAGCGUUGUUCGGAAUCACUGGGCGUAAAGCGCACGCAGGCGGAUUGAUAAGUCAGGGGUGAAAUCCCGGGGCUCAACCUCGGAAUUGCCUUUGAUACUGUCUGUCUUGAGUUCGGGAGAGGUUGGCGGAAUUCCUAGUGUAGAGGUGAAAUUCGUAGAUAUUAGGAAGAACACCGGUGGCGAAGGCGGCCAUCUGGACCGGCACUGACGCUGAGGCGCGAAAGCGUGGGGAGCAAACAGG